RNAcentral lists this transfer-messenger RNA (353 nucleotides) under Devosia sp. It matches the Rfam family "Alphaproteobacteria transfer-messenger RNA". Rfam says of the family: Bacterial tmRNA, also known as 10Sa RNA or SsrA, is named for its dual tRNA and mRNA-like properties. Its role is to liberate the mRNA from a stalled ribosome. The record is from RNAcentral. Lineage: Bacteria; Pseudomonadati; Pseudomonadota; Alphaproteobacteria; Hyphomicrobiales; Devosiaceae.
GGAUUUGCAUCGCCAUGCAACCGUCCCUAUAUUAGGGGUGCCGGCAACGGCUAUGGUGAUAAAUUGCCAUCAUAAUAAACCCAUCGGACCCGGGGGCAGUACCCGGCGCCUCCACCAAUCUCCACCCCGAGCGGCGGAGCCUAUGGGGGCGAAACAGGAUCGACGAGGGCGUAAAAGGUGUGUUUUCGCUCGGCAUGGUACCACCGUCAUCGGACCAUCCUAAUAGUUGCAAACGACAACUAUGCUAAGGUUGCUCUCGCUGCUUAAUGCAGCGCGACGCCUGAACUAAAAGUCCCUCCCUGUAGCAGGGGAACGGCGGGGUCCGCAGGCACCUGGCAACAGAAGCCUGCACC